AACGUAGGUACCGAGCGUUAUCCGGAUUUACUGGGCGUAAAGCGUGUUCAGGCGGCCGCGCAAGUCGGGCAUGAAAUCUCUCGGCUCAACCGGGAGGGGUUGUCCGAUACUGCGUGGCUGGAGGGCAGUAGAGGGUGGUGGAAUUCCGGGUGUAGAGGUGAAAUGCGUAGAGAUCCGGAGGAACACCAGUGGCGAAAGCGGCCACCUGGACUGUACCUGACGCUCAAACACGAAAGCUAGGGGAGCGAACGGG
This 253-nucleotide ribosomal RNA is filed under the name uncultured bacterium. RNAcentral describes it as "partial 16S ribosomal RNA". It matches the Rfam family "Bacterial small subunit ribosomal RNA", at positions 524 to 776 of the family's 1533-position model. The record is from RNAcentral.